RNAcentral lists this ribosomal RNA (262 nucleotides) under uncultured bacterium. Its description in RNAcentral is "partial 16S ribosomal RNA". It matches the Rfam family "Bacterial small subunit ribosomal RNA", at positions 92 to 354 of the family's 1533-position model. The record is from RNAcentral.
UUAGUGGCGGACGGGUGAGUAACGCGUGGGUAACCUGCCUUACACAGGGGGAUAACACUUAGAAAUAGGUGCUAAAACCGCAUAAGCGCACAGCUUCGCAUGAAGCGGUGUGAAGAACUCCGGUGGUGUAAGAUGGACCCGCGUCUGAUUAGCUUGUUGGCGGGGUAACGGCCCACCAAGGCGACGAUCAGUAGCCGGCCUGAGAGGGCGGACGGCCACAUUGGGACUGAGACACGGCCCAGACUCCUACGGGAGGCAGCAG